ACGUGACUCUACCACGCAAGUGCACAAAACAUGAACAAUUCUUUUUUUGCACAUCCCAAGGAAAUACAUGUGUAAUAAACAACAAAAUUGUGUUGUUUAACUUUUCCAGUAAAGCGUGUUCCUAUGCCUGUGUGCCAAAAACAAAAACCAAAUAUCCUUGCGGUGCCACAAAAUUUUCAUCUCCGGUUUCUGCCAGCGUUUAUAUGUAUAUAGACUCUGAUUUCUGCUUGUUUUGUGCUACAAAAUCUAUAAUAUUAUUUUUCAGUACCGGAUCCAGAACUGCAGCUGGAUUCGCAAUGCUGGCGCUGAGCAAAAGGCAGAUGUGAACCGACAACACCUCCGUGGCAACCUCCUCCAAGCCGAUACGCGACACGUUCCGGUCUCCGCAACCAGAGCGUAUCAUUAGAUCUCCAGCAGCAGGAUGGAUCCUUACAGGAAGUGUUUUAUAUUGUGCCAGAACGGCAUGAAGCUACCGCACAGAGAAACUACUGGUUCGGGGAACCAGUUGGAAUCGAUUUUCAUGGUCGUUUUGUGCUCUUCGUCACAGGGGGUUUUGCCGACCAAAUCUUCCGAAAUUCAUCAGUAAGAUGCUAAUAGUAUCGAUGCAAGUUUUUAGCCCAAUAGCUUACAAAAAACCUCAUGUGACGGAAAGAACAAAGCUGCCGAAAAUACUAGUCAUACUAGCUCGGCACACAGACAAUAUGAUGUGAAAAUUUAUUCCAUAUAGAGAAAAAAGGGUGGAGUGCAAUUUUAAAUCAAUCAAUAAUAAACAAUCUAAAUAAAAGUGUGUUCGCCAUUUUUUUUAACACGCAAGGAAACAAGUACUAUGUGUAGUCUUAAUUUUCUUCAAACUUAAAUCAGUUACAUUUUAAUACAUCCUCGAACAUCAUGAAUAUUUGUUGAAUAAAAUGUACAGAUUUUUUAAAUUUGAA
Long non-coding RNA from Aedes aegypti (yellow fever mosquito), 932 nucleotides. RefSeq lists it as uncharacterized. The record is from RefSeq and is a predicted model, not a curated record. The transcript has 3 exons. Lineage: Eukaryota; Metazoa; Arthropoda; Insecta; Diptera; Culicidae.